RNAcentral lists this ribosomal RNA (591 nucleotides) under Salmonella enterica subsp. enterica serovar Weltevreden. RNAcentral's name for it is "partial 23S ribosomal RNA". It matches the Rfam family "Bacterial large subunit ribosomal RNA", at positions 161 to 678 of the family's 2925-position model. Lineage: Bacteria; Pseudomonadati; Pseudomonadota; Gammaproteobacteria; Enterobacterales; Enterobacteriaceae. The record is from RNAcentral.
AAUCCAUAGGUUAAUGAGGCGAACCGGGGGAACUGAAACAUCUAAGUACCCCGAGGAAAAGAAAUCAACCGAGAUUCCCCCAGUAGCGGCGAGCGAACGGGGAGGAGCCCAGAGCCUGAAUCAGCAUGUGUGUUAGUGGAAGCGUCUGGAAAGGCGCGCGAUACAGGGUGACAGCCCCGUACACAAAAGCGCAUGUGCUGUGAGCUCGAUGAGUAGGGCGGGACACGUGGUAUCCUGUCUGAAUAUGGGGGGACCAUCCUCCAAGGCUAAAUACUCCUGACUGACCGAUAGUGAACCAGUACCGUGAGGGAAAGGCGAAAAGAACCCCGGCGAGGGGAGUGAAAAAGAACCUGAAACCGUGUACGUACAAGCAGUGGGAGCCCCACCACCAAAGCGUUUCGCUUUGUGUGGUGCACAAAGAAGCGUAACGACAGCACUGAAUGACGGUUAACGGAGCGCAAGCGACGUUCAACAUACAAAGUCAAGCAGUGGAGCGCUUUGGGGUGGGGUGACUGCGUACCUUUUGUAUAAUGGGUCAGCGACUUAUAUUCUGUAGCAAGGUUAACCGAAUAGGGGAGCCGGAGGGAAACC